This 640-nucleotide ribosomal RNA is filed under the name uncultured bacterium. RNAcentral's name for it is "bacterial SSU rRNA". It matches the Rfam family "Bacterial small subunit ribosomal RNA", at positions 68 to 701 of the family's 1533-position model. The record is from RNAcentral.
GGCAUUGAGUGCUUGCACUCUUUGGACGUCGACCGGCGCACGGGUGAGUAACGCGUAUCCAACCUUCCCAUUACUGUGGGAUAACCUGCCGAAAGGCAGACUAAUACCGCAUAGUCUUCGAUGACGGCAUCAGAUUUGAAGUAAAGAUUUAUCGGUAAUGGAUGGGGAUGCGUCUGAUUAGCUUGUUGGCGGGGUAACGGCCCACCAAGGCUACGAUCAGUAGGGGUUCUGAGAGGAAGGUCCCCCACAUUGGAACUGAGACACGGUCCAAACUCCUACGGGAGGCAGCAGUGAGGAAUAUUGGUCAAUGGACGGAAGUCUGAACCAGCCAAGUAGCGUGCAGGAUGACGGCCCUAUGGGUUGUAAACUGCUUUUGUAUGGGGAUAAAGUUAGGGACGUGUCCCUAUUUGCAGGUACCAUACGAAUAAGGACCGGCUAAUUCCGUGCCAGCAGCCGCGGUAAUACGGAAGGUCCAGGCGUUAUCCGGAUUUAUUGGGUUUAAAGGGAGCGUAGGCUGGAGAUUAAGUGUGUUGUGAAAUGUAGACGCUCAACGUCUGAAUUGCAGCGCAUACUGGUUUCCUUGAGUACGCACAACGUUGGCGGAAUUCGUCGUGUAGCGGUGAAAUGCUUAGAUAUGACG